Peromyscus eremicus (cactus mouse) is the source of this 339-nucleotide long non-coding RNA. RefSeq lists it as uncharacterized. The transcript has 3 exons. Lineage: Eukaryota; Metazoa; Chordata; Mammalia; Rodentia; Cricetidae. The record is from RefSeq and is a predicted model, not a curated record.
CUCUGCGCAAGGGGCAGAACACGUUUUUCCACAGCUGCCGAGAAAGAGAGUGAGUCGCGGCAGCAUAACAAAAAGCCACUUCAAAAACACACCAGAAGAAGUCACAGAGCUGAAACAAUCACAGGCGUCUCGCCCACCACUUGAAUUCUCAUUGGAUGCGGUGAGUCUGAAUCAGAGAGAGAACCCCAAAGGCAGAAGAUGAAAGAUAAAGCCAGGCUGGGCUGUGCCCUCAGAUGUAGGACUCUCAGCUGCUUCUCCAGCACCAAGUCUGCCCGCACGCCACCAUGCUCCCCACCACGAUGAUAAUGGACGAGACCUCCGAAACUGUACGCAAGUUGC